CUCCGGCUUCCUGAGCACAUCCAUCCCUGCCCUGAUACCCCCAGGGCCGCCUUCUGCCUCCCAGUGGUUUGCAAGGCGUGUGUGGACUCACAGCUCACCAUCCUCCGUCCCCUACCCAACACCUGGAAUGAUCUCUGGGCUCAGGGCUGCUGCAG
This 155-nucleotide long non-coding RNA is filed under the name Cavia porcellus (domestic guinea pig). RNAcentral describes it as "lncRNA (ENSCPOG00000030435.1)". The record is from RNAcentral. Lineage: Eukaryota; Metazoa; Chordata; Mammalia; Rodentia; Caviidae.